CCUUCUCCAGCGGGCUCUCCUUCCAGCUUCCUCCCGGGCUGCAAUUCCUCUGCCUAGGUGCCUCCGUCCAGCUCCGGCUUCUGGCCCGGAGGCUGCUCAUCUGCCCCUACCCCCGCUGACUUUUGGGAGGAGCAACACCUUUCAGGUCAGCAUUGCUAACCCUAAACUUUCCCCGCCGGAUGCCCGCGAGGCUGCUGCGGCGGCGGCUGCUGCUGAUGGGAGAGUCUCGAGUCCGGCUUUCAUCACAUCACCUGUCUGCGCCCCUUCCCCCUCCCCGCUCUUUUUUUCUUUUCUUUUUAUUUUGACGCAAAUAAUUUGCAUUCUGAGAAUCCCACAAUCAACGCCGAAACUCAUGCUCAAGGAUACAGGGAGCAAAGUCUGCCACAUCAGUCGAUGAGUACUUCCUGCACGAGGACAUGAAGCUCCAUUGUGUGGAAAGCUGUUUCGCGAACGGUCGGUAAAAUCCAGAAAGAGGGAGAAGGAGUGAGUAAGGCAGAAAGCCCAGCCCAGAAAACCGGCGUCUGGGGAUUUCAGCCUCCGCUCCCCGGUCCCCAGCCCGGUGGCUCUGUGAGAAGAAGCUCAACUCGGUGCACUUGUUCACUCUUUCUUCAUGAGAGGAGGAGUCAGUGUUGCAACAUUUAUGUUCCUUGCUGGAGGCAAAACAGUGAUUUUCUUCAGCAUGCAAAACGUCCAGAGCCUGCCAGUUUUAGAAGGCGACGGAGGUAGUUGGGGGAGCUGGAAUCCUGCGAAGACCUGAAGAAACAACUGAUUCCCCCCAGAUCGGUUUUGCAUGAUUAGGGCCACAUAUCUUUCAUUGAGACUGUACCAGAAAAUAGACAGACAAAACAAUAAUAAAAAUGACUUAGUGAGUUGAAUGACCUCAAAGAUGAUAUUUUUCCAGGCAGCCAAGAUGUGGAGUGUCUCCGUGUCAAAUUUCUUUCCUUAUUUCUGAGUAACAUUGAACAGCAGCUAUAUUUGAGAGGUUCUCCAGGGAUUUGAAUUGCACCUUGCCUGAGGAGUCAGAUAGAAAGGAGCAAAAGAAGAUAGUCAGUGACCUAAGAAGGUUUUGCUUUUUUUUUUUUUUAAUACCCAAAGCGCAAACUUCUAGUGUGCUGUGUUUAUUCUCUGCCAUAUGAAUAUAAUAAACAUUGGCGGUGCCUAAAUAGCCCCACUUCUGUUGUUUUCCACAAAUAAAGAAUUUAUCUUUUCUAAUGGGCUGCAUGUUGUUCUGACUUUUCUUCUUCUUGAAACCACACAC
RNAcentral lists this long non-coding RNA (1258 nucleotides) under Homo sapiens (human). RNAcentral describes it as "non-protein coding lnc-DNAJC21-3:4". The record is from RNAcentral. Lineage: Eukaryota; Metazoa; Chordata; Mammalia; Primates; Hominidae.